Molecule: long non-coding RNA, 330 nt
Filed under: Portunus trituberculatus (swimming crab)
Lineage: Eukaryota; Metazoa; Arthropoda; Malacostraca; Decapoda; Portunidae
Description: uncharacterized LOC123502488
Source: RNAcentral
GAUUUUGCAUUUAUAAGAAGUUUGAGUGAUAGAGGAAGUGUAUAGGAUGAUGUGGACAUUUUGCGUAGAAGACGUGUGAGAAACCUCGGCCAUUGUUAGCUCUGUGUUGAGAUUGACAGUUUUUGAAGCUUUGUGGAGCAGAGGUGCACCAUGGCUUGCCACAAGGUCACAACUGGUCCCUGGAGAGCCGCUGGUGGUGACGGGCUGCUUGUGCCCUCUCUGCGGCAAACCUCCACAAAUACUCCACUCACCAAGUUCCAGAGGGAGAGGAUCACCGGCCGUACUAAAGGAAGUGGCUCUAUGUAGGGAUGGAACAUGGCAACUGCACCA